GUGUCAGCAGCCGCGGUAAGACGAACCGUGCGAACGUUGUUCGGAAUCACUGGGCUUAAAGGGCGCGUAGGCGGUCGCACAAGUCGAGGGUGAAAGCCUCCAGCUUAACUGGAGAAGGGCCCCCGAUACUGUGUGACUCGAGGUGGGUAGGGGUGCGUGGAACUUCCGGUGGAGCGGUGAAAUGCGUAGAUAUCGGAAGGAACGCCGGUGGCGAAAGCGACGCACUGGACCCUUUCUGACGCUGAGGCGCGAAAGCCAGGGGAGCAAACGGGAUUAGAUACCCCAGUAGUCC
RNAcentral lists this ribosomal RNA (292 nucleotides) under uncultured bacterium. RNAcentral's name for it is "partial 16S ribosomal RNA". It matches the Rfam family "Bacterial small subunit ribosomal RNA", at positions 505 to 796 of the family's 1533-position model. The record is from RNAcentral.